AAAACGGAGAGUUUGAUCCUGGCUCAGGAUGAACGCUGGCGGUAUGCUUAACACAUGCAAGUCGAACGGUGUCUUCGGACAUAGUGGCGGACGGGUGAGUAACGCGUGAGAAUCUAGCUUCAGGUCGGGGACAACCACGGGAAACUGUGGCUAAUACCGGAUAUGCCGAGAGGUGAAAGGCUUGCUGCCUGAAGAUGAGCUCGCGUCUGAUUAGCUAGUAGGUGUGGUAAAAGCGCACCUAGGCGACGAUCAGUAGCUGGUCUGAGAGGAUGAUCAGCCACACUGGGACUGAGACACGGCCCAGACUCCUACGGGAGGCAGCAGUGGGGAAUUUUCCGCAAUGGGCGAAAGCCUGACGGAGCAAUACCGCGUGAGGGAGGAAGGCUCUUGGGUUGUAAACCUCUUUUCUCAGGGAAGAAAAAAAUGACGGUACCUGAGGAAUAAGCAUCGGCUAACUCCGUGCCAGCAGCCGCGGUAAUACGGAGGAUGCAAGCGUUAUCCGGAAUGAUUGGGCGUAAAGGGUCCGCAGGUGGCUAUGUAAGUCUGCUGUUAAAGAACCUAGCUUAACUAGGUAAAAGCAGUGGAAACUACAAGGCUAGAGUGCGUUCGGGGUAGAGGGAAUUCCUGGUGUAGCGGUGAAAUGCGUAGAUAUCAGGAAGAACACCAGUGGCGAAGGCGCUCUACUAGGCCGCAACUGACACUGAGGGACGAAAGCUAGGGGAGCGAAUGGGAUUAGAUACCCCAGUAGUCCUAGCCGUAAACGAUGGAUACUAGGCGUGGCUUGUAUCGACCCAAGCCGUGCCGGAGCUAACGCGUUAAGUAUCCCGCCUGGGGAGUACGCACGCAAGUGUGAAACUCAAAGGAAUUGACGGGGGCCCGCACAAGCGGUGGAGUAUGUGGUUUAAUUCGAUGCAACGCGAAGAACCUUACCAAGACUUGACAUGUCGCGAAUCUCUCUGAAAGGAGAGAGUGCCUUCGGGAGCGCGAACACAGGUGGUGCAUGGCUGUCGUCAGCUCGUGUCGUGAGAUGUUGGGUUAAGUCCCGCAACGAGCGCAACCCUCGUUUUUAGUUGCCAGCAUUAAGUUGGGCACUCUAGAGAGACUGCCGGUGACAAACCGGAGGAAGGUGGGGAUGACGUCAAGUCAGCAUGCCCCUUACGUCUUGGGCUACACACGUACUACAAUGCUACGGACAAAGGGCAGCUACACAGCAAUGUGAUGCAAAUCUCACAAAACCGUAGCUCAGUUCAGAUCGCAGGCUGCAACUCGCCUGCGUGAAGUCGGAAUCGCUAGUAAUUGCAGGUCAGCAUACUGCAGUGAAUUCGUUCCCGGGCCUUGUACACACCGCCCGUCACACCAUGGAAGCUGGUCACGCCCGAAGUCGUUACCCCAACUGUUCGCAGAGGGGGAUGCCGAAGCAGGACUGGUGACUGGGGUGAAGUCGUAACAAGGUAGCCGUACCGGAAGUGUGGCUGGAUCACCUCCUUUUAUGGAGACCGAAUCCACUCAAACAUCGAAAGCAAAUCGCAAUUAGAUACUGAGUGGUCAUUCCUAGGUCGGUCG
Molecule: ribosomal RNA, 1563 nt
Filed under: Nodularia spumigena CCY9414
Lineage: Bacteria; Bacillati; Cyanobacteriota; Cyanophyceae; Nostocales; Nodulariaceae
Description: bacterial SSU rRNA
Rfam family: Bacterial small subunit ribosomal RNA
Source: RNAcentral